Physcomitrium patens is the source of this 877-nucleotide non-coding RNA. The record is from RefSeq and is a predicted model, not a curated record. Lineage: Eukaryota; Viridiplantae; Streptophyta; Bryopsida; Funariales; Funariaceae.
CCAGGUUGCAAUAUAUCCUCCUCAUCCCCCUCCCUCCCUCCCCACCUGGGUGCUUCUUUUUCUUAUUCUUCUUCCACUUGGCCUCGUGCCUUACCAAUCUGUCUCGACCCUCACCCACUUUCAGCCCUUUCAGAUCUGGACCAGUGACAUUUGCAGCGUGAGCGGCGGCAGUGGCAGGGAAAGAGGCUCUCACGUUUGCAUACCCUCCGAGAAUAGUCUGCCUCUCCUCUCUCCCUCUCCUCUCACACAGAUGAUGGCAAUCACUUCUACUUCACAGAUGAAGAUAAAAUUCUCGGGGUGGGUCCAUACUGCGACGAUACCUCAAGAGCUUCUUCGUUGCGAGUUACUCAGGUCAAUGGGGAUAUGGACAUUCUGGUCAACUCCCCAGUGAACGGGUUUUUCAACGCCACUGCGUGUGUAGAGUCGAAGCAGGAAAAUGAACUCUCGUCCAAGAAUGCUGGGUGGAGACUAUGAUGGAGUAUUGACUUCAAUAUAUAUAUAUAUAUAUAUAUAUACAUCUCUAUAAUUGGGGGGUGGUUGGUUGAGGAGGAAAGUGGGUGGAGAGGAAAGUUAGACAUAAAAUUGCAGAAUCACCAAAUUGUGAAGUUGAUGAAACAGAGAGAGCGUCAAUCUCCAAAGUACUAGAGUACAAUUUGUUUGUUAGUGGUAUGGGAAGAAAUUGGAGCAUCCUUUUUUUGGUCUCCACCCUAAUCAGCUCUUUAAAGUUGUCUUCUUUUAGUUAGACUAGAAAACAAUUUGUAUGUGGACAAGUUAAUAGGUAAUGAAGGCAAGUCUAAGUUGCCAUUGAGAAGAAUCAUCUCCAUUUCAAUAAAAGGAUUAGAAAAGGGUGUCAAUAACUCUUCAAUUUGUCAUUAAA